Molecule: ribosomal RNA, 468 nt
Filed under: uncultured bacterium
Lineage: Bacteria
Description: partial 16S ribosomal RNA
Rfam family: Bacterial small subunit ribosomal RNA
Source: RNAcentral
GACGAACGCUGGCGGCGUGCUUAACACAUGCAAGUCGAACGGAAAGGCCCUGCAUUUGUGGGGUGCUCGAGUGGCGAACGGGUGAGUAACACGUGAGUAACCUGCCCUUUACUUUGGGAUAACUUCAGGAAACUGGGGCUAAUACCGGAUAGGAGCUCCUGCUGCAUGGUGGGGGUUGGAAAGUUUCGGCGGUUGGGGAUGGACUCGCGGCUUAUCAGCUUGUUGGUGGGGUAGUGGCUUACCCAGGCUUUGACGGGUAGCCGGCCUGAGAGGGUGACCGGCCACAUUGGGACUGCGAUACGGACCAGACUCCUACGGGAGGCAGCAGUGGGGAAUAUUGCACAAUGGGCGGAAGCCUGAUGCAGCAACGCCGCGUGCGGGAUGACGGCCUUCGGGUUGUAAACCGCUUUCGCCUGUGACGAAGCGUGAGUGACGGUAAUGGGUAAAGAAGCACCGGCUAACUACGUG